CGAAUCGCCCUUCGGGGUGCAGCAGGCGCGAAACCUUAGCAAUGUGCGAAAGCACGACUGGGUCAGUCCGAGUGAUUCCUGAUAAAGGAGUCUUUUGCUUGUCCUAAAAGCACAGGUGAAUAAGGGGUGGGCAAGUCUGGUGUCAGCCGCCGCGGUAAUACCAGCACCUCGAGUGGUCAGGACGUUUAUUGGGCCUAAAGCAUCCGUAGCCGGCUCUGCAAGUCUUCGGUUAAAUCCACCUGCUCAACAGAUGGGCUGCUGGAGAUACUACAGAGCUAGGGAGUGGGAGAGGCAGACGGUAUUCAGUGGGUAGGGGUAAAAUCCUCUGAUCCAUUGAGGACCACCAGUGGCGAAGGCGGUCUGCCAGAACACGUUCGACGGUGAGGGAUGAAAGCUGGGGGAGCAAACCGGAUUAGAUACCCGGGUAGUCCCAGCUGUAAACGAUGCAAACUCGGUGAUGCAUUGGCUUAUGGCCAAUGCAGUGCCGCAGGGAAGCCGUUAAGUUUGCCGCCUGGGAAGUACGGACGCAAGUCUGAAACUUAAAGGAAUUGGCGGGGGAGCAC
This 563-nucleotide ribosomal RNA is filed under the name uncultured archaeon. RNAcentral's name for it is "bacterial SSU rRNA". It matches the Rfam family "Archaeal small subunit ribosomal RNA", at positions 314 to 879 of the family's 1478-position model. The record is from RNAcentral.